Molecule: unclassified non-coding RNA, 433 nt
Filed under: fungal sp.
Lineage: Eukaryota; Fungi
Description: partial internal transcribed spacer region
Rfam family: Eukaryotic small subunit ribosomal RNA (bases 1-46)
Source: RNAcentral
AAGUCGUAACAAGGUUUCCGUAGGUGAACCUGCGGAAGGAUCAUUAACACGUAUCCAACGUUAAACCCCCCGUGCACACAGAGACCAGCUCCCCUCAAUUUCGGUCUUUUGGCAAUCUCUGGUAAAUCAUCGCCGAACAGUUUUGAUUCAGAGACAUCCAAAGGGCCGGGGUAGGGUAUUGAAGUAGUUGUCCCAUGCAAGCAGCCUGGUUUCUUGGAAGCAGAAAGUGUGAUAGAAGAUGUCGGAGAACGGACCGAGUGGUAGUUCGAAGAUGACUUCUGUCGCGCGCUGUGAAAAAGAAGACGCUUUACGAAUCACUGACCUGGGUCCUAGACCCCCUGAUCACCCCGACAGUCGCAGACGCGGGUAGGGAUACGUCCUUACCAAAAAAUAAAUACUUGAACAACUGUUAACAAUGGAUAUCUUGGUUCUC